RNAcentral lists this ribosomal RNA (1342 nucleotides) under uncultured bacterium. Its description in RNAcentral is "bacterial SSU rRNA". It matches the Rfam family "Bacterial small subunit ribosomal RNA", at positions 28 to 1381 of the family's 1533-position model. The record is from RNAcentral.
GACGAACGCUGGCGGCGUGCUUAACACAUGCAAGUCGAACGGAAAGGCCCUGCUUGCAGGGUACUCGAGUGGCGAACGGGUGAGUAACACGUGGGUGAUCUGCCCUGCACUUCGGGAUAAGCCUGGGAAACUGGGUCUAAUACCGGAUAGGAGCCAUUUUUAGUGUGAUGGUUGGAAAGUUUUUUCGGUGUAGGAUGAGCUCGCGGCCUAUCAGCUUGUUGGUGGGGUAAUGGCCUACCAAGGCGGCGACGGGUAGCCGGCCUGAGAGGGUGGACGGCCACAUUGGGACUGAGAUACGGCCCAGACUCCUACGGGAGGCAGCAGUGGGGAAUAUUGCACAAUGGGCGCAAGCCUGAUGCAGCGACGCCGCGUGGGGGAUGACGGCCUUCGGGUUGUAAACUCCUUUCGCUAGGGACGAAGCUUUUGUGACGGUACCUAGAUAAGAAGCACCGGCUAACUACGUGCCAGCAGCCGCGGUAAUACGUAGGGUGCGAGCGUUGUCCGGAAUUACUGGGCGUAAAGGGCUCGUAGGUGGUUGAUCGCGUCGGAAGUGUAAUCUUGGGGCUUAACCCUGAGCGUGCUUUCGAUACGGGUUGACUUGAGGAAGGUAGGGGAGAAUGGAAUUCCUGGUGGAGCGGUGGAAUGCGCAGAUAUCAGGAGGAACACCAGUGGCGAAGGCGGUUCUCUGGGCCUUUCCUGACGCUGAGGAGCGAAAGCGUGGGGAGCGAACAGGCUUAGAUACCCUGGUAGUCCACGCUGUAAACGGUGGGUACUAGGUGUGGGGUCCAUUCCACGGGUUCCGUGCCGUAGCUAACGCUUUAAGUACCCCGCCUGGGGAGUACGGCCGCAAGGCUAAAACUCAAAGGAAUUGACGGGGCCCCGCACAAGCGGCGGAGCAUGCGGAUUAAUUCGAUGCAACGCGUAGAACCUUACCUGGGUUUGACAUGGAUCGGGAGUGCUCAGAGAUGGGUGUGCCUCUUUUGGGGUCGGUUCACAGGUGGUGCAUGGCUGUCGUCAGCUCGUGUCGUGAGAUGUUGGGUUAAGUCCCGCAACGAGCGCAACCCUUGUUCACUGUUGCCAGCACGUUAUGGUGGGGACUCAGUGGAGACCGCCGGGGUCAACUCGGAGGAAGGUGGGGAUGACGUCAAGUCAUCAUGCCCCUUAUGUCCAGGGCUUCACGCAUGCUACAAUGGCUGGUACAGAGAGUGGCGAGCCUGUGAGGGUGAGCGAAUCUCGGAAAGCCGGUCUCAGUUCGGAUUGGGGUCUGCAACUCGACCUCAUGAAGUCGGAGUCGCUAGUAAUCGCAGAUCAGCAACGCUGCGGUGAAUACGUUCCCGGGGCU